UACGUAGGGUGCAAGCGUUAAUCGGAAUUAUUGGGCGUAAAGAGCUCGUAGGCGGUUUGUCGCGUCUGCUGUGAAAACUGGGGGCUCAACCCCCAGCCCUGCAGUGGGUACGGGCAGGACUAGAGUGCGGUAGGGGAGAUUGGAAUUCCUGGUGUAGCGGUGGAAUGCGCAGAUAUCAGGAGGAACACCGAUGGCGAAGGCAGAUCUCUGGGCCGUAACUGACGCUGAGGAGCGAAAGCAUGGGGAGCGAACAGG
RNAcentral lists this ribosomal RNA (255 nucleotides) under uncultured bacterium. RNAcentral's name for it is "partial 16S ribosomal RNA". It matches the Rfam family "Bacterial small subunit ribosomal RNA", at positions 524 to 776 of the family's 1533-position model. The record is from RNAcentral.